UUCACUUAGAUCACAGUCACUUCUGGGCAGAGUUAAAAUUAGAAGUUAGUUUAUUCCCCAAAAUAUGGUCCCUGGACCAGCAGCAUCAUUAUCCUGGAAGCGUGACAGAAUCAUACAAUCUGACCCAGACCCUAAAAUAUAACCUAUAUCAGGACGUGCAUCUCAACAAGAUCACCAACAGAUUCAUACGCAUGUUUGAAAAAUACUGGUCUAGAUCAGCUCAGUCCAGAAGAAAUAUAAUCUCAUAUAAUCUCAACAUACUGUUUGUGUAAUAUGUGCCUCCUCCCACUACAAUGUUCACUCUCUGAGAACUGGAACUUGUCUGUGUUUAUUGCUCUACCCCAGAAACCAGAAGCAGUAUUCAGGAACAGUCUGGAGCUAAGCACGUGGUUAAGGGCAUUAGGCAUCUAUCAAAGCUCUAUUCAAGAUUCUUUUUAACUAGCCUACAAAAAAAAAAGGUCUCUACACAGAGAUGGCUGAAAUGAAGAGGCAGCAAUGGCACUACCCUCUCAGCCCAACAGUAAAAGGACAAAGACAGAUAAUUAAGAAAGAGACCAAAAGAACUUGGGAAGAAACACUGUCAGCUAUCCUACACACUCAAGCUUCUACCUGCUCCAGAAAACACCAACUGAUGUAUGCUUAUAGAAGGCUCAGCGGGAAAAGGGGAAAAAAAUGAAAUAGGUGAAAUAAAAAAGAUUUCUUCUACA
Molecule: long non-coding RNA, 707 nt
Organism: Neofelis nebulosa (Clouded leopard)
Lineage: Eukaryota; Metazoa; Chordata; Mammalia; Carnivora; Felidae
Exons: 3
Source: RefSeq, a predicted model, not a curated record